AGGCCUGCCAAGCUCACCAGCUAGUCAGUGUGCAGCCAGCACAGCAGGAGCGCGACUUGCUAGGGCCCUCAGAACAAGCCGUGUGGCCCGAGGCCUUCACACAGGAUCUGUGCUGAGACCUCAAGGUGCUGGGACCUCUGGCUGCUGCAUCAUUUACAGAGGAAUUGUCUGGGAUGUGCCAGGCAUAGCACUGUGGCUCUUGCCGGUGUGCGUGUCAGCACACUAGUGACAUGGCAGGUUCAGGUCGGUGGACAGACUGGACUUGGAAACACCUUCUUGUGUCCUCGAAACGACGUGGCGCCAAGCCAGCUCACAGCACCCAAAAGCGCGGGCAAGUUGCAGCGCGGCAGCCCCUCCUGUCUGAGCAAGAGCAGGUGCGUUCCUGAGGUCCUGGCCACUUCUGCAGGAGCAUCUGAGGGACCCCAGCUGAUUUACCACGACCCCUGAUCUCCCAGGUUAGCCUUUCCGUCCAACAGCACCAGGACUGGAC
Symphalangus syndactylus (siamang) is the source of this 490-nucleotide long non-coding RNA. RefSeq lists it as uncharacterized. The record is from RefSeq and is a predicted model, not a curated record. Lineage: Eukaryota; Metazoa; Chordata; Mammalia; Primates; Hylobatidae.